AGCAACCUCUGAUGUAAAUCAACCAAUUUGCUCAACAUCAUUGAUUAUUGCAAAAAAUAUCUCCAUCUUUCGGUUGAGGUUGCA
Small nucleolar RNA from Lolium rigidum, 84 nucleotides. The record is from RefSeq and is a predicted model, not a curated record. Lineage: Eukaryota; Viridiplantae; Streptophyta; Magnoliopsida; Poales; Poaceae.